RNAcentral lists this ribosomal RNA (466 nucleotides) under uncultured bacterium. Its description in RNAcentral is "partial 16S ribosomal RNA". It matches the Rfam family "Bacterial small subunit ribosomal RNA", at positions 28 to 507 of the family's 1533-position model. The record is from RNAcentral.
GACGAACGCUGGCGGCGCGCCUAACACAUGCAAGUCGAACGAGAGAGAGCGAGCUUGCUUUCUUAAGCGAGUGGCGAACGGGUGAGUAACGCGUGAGGAACCUGCCUCAAAGAGGGGGAUAACAGUUGGAAACGACUGCUAAUACCGCAUAAGCGCACGACCCGGCAUCGGGGAGAGGGAAAAUGAGCGCUGCGCUUUGAGGUGGCCUCGCGUCCGAUUAGCUUGUUGGUGAGGUAACGGCCCACCACGGCGACGAUCGGUGGCCGGGCUGGGGGGCUGAACGGCCACGUUGGGACUGAGACACAGCCCAGACUCCGACGCGAGGCAGCAGUGGGGAAUAUUGCACAAUGGGGCAAACCGUGAUGCAGCGACGCCGCGUGGAGGAAGAAGGUCGUCGUAUUGUAAACUCCUGUGGGUGAGGAAGAUAAUGACGGUACUCAACAAGGAAGCAACGGCUAACUACGUG